CCUACGGGAGGCAGCAGUAAGGAAUAUUGGUCAAUGGACGCAAGUCUGAACCAGCCAUGCCGCGUGCAGGAUGAAGGCCCUCUGGGUUGUAAACUGCUUUUAUAGGGGACGAAAAAGGGACUUUCUAGUUCAACUGACGGUACCCUAGGAAUAAGCACCGGCUAACUCCGUGCCAGCAGCCGCGGUAAUACGGAGGGUGCAAGCGUUAUCCGGAUUUACUGGGUUUAAAGGGUGCGUAGGUGGGUCGGUAAGUCAGCGGUGAAAUCUUCAAGCUUAACUUGGAAACUGCCAUUGAUACUAUCGAUCUUGAAUCAUCUGGAGGUAAGCGGAAUAUGUCAUGUAGCGGUGAAAUGCUUAGAUAUGACAUAGAACACCAAUUGCGAAGGCAGCUUACUACGGAUGUAUUGACACUGAAGCACGAAAGCGUGGGGAUCAAACAGGAUUAGAUACCCUGGUAGUCCACGCCCUAAACCGAUGGAUACUCGACAUACGUGAUAUACUAUGUGUGUCUGAGCGAAAGCAUUAAGUAUCCACCUGGGAAGUACGAUUCGCAGAUUGAACUUCAAGGAUUGACGGG
Molecule: ribosomal RNA, 577 nt
Filed under: uncultured bacterium
Lineage: Bacteria
Description: bacterial SSU rRNA
Rfam family: Bacterial small subunit ribosomal RNA
Source: RNAcentral